This 3047-nucleotide long non-coding RNA is filed under the name Prunus persica (peach). Its description in RNAcentral is "long non-coding RNA (PPER_LNC008505)". The record is from RNAcentral. Lineage: Eukaryota; Viridiplantae; Streptophyta; Magnoliopsida; Rosales; Rosaceae.
GUGCCUCCAGAGAAAAGUCUAAAAUACCCACCACCACCACGACGAUAAUUUUUUCUUAUUUGUUUAUGUCAAGCCAGAUUUGCUCAAAAUAGCCACCGGGCACUCAGAUAGUAUCGUUAUUCAUGAAAAGCAAGAGUCAAUUCCUCCUUACCCUAACCCUAAAAUCUCAUCGAUGGAGCUUGCUCGGAUGUUCAGAUUCAAUCGGACCUUCGCUCCGACCACACCCGAUCUCCAGCCCCAUCACCAAGAGAGGCUGAUAUCAAUAAUGGCUUCGAUUCAAGUCGAUUCUCCGACCGGUAAUCUUCGGUUUCGGGAUCUCAAUUCUUCGUUGAGAAUUGGGGUCUCAAUUCUUCGUUGAGAAUUGGGGUCUCAAUUCUUCGUUGAGAAUCGGUUCUCGCUUUCGGAAAAAGAUUUCGCUUAUGCAAGAGAGUUUUCUUACGAAUCUUUACCUUCUCGAUCUUCAUCUGCAGGUAAUAUUAUGCUUCCUUUUAUUUAGUUAUGCACCACUUGUUUCAUUUUUUGAAGCGGAUUAAUUAUCAUCUGUGAUGGAUUAUCUCAAUUGAUAUGAGUUCUACUUUCAGAAAAAGAAUAAAUGGUUACGUCCAUUGGUUUUUUGGAUAUGAUAUUAGCAAUAUAAUCAUCCUUAGGUUUAAUUUUAUGCACAAAAAAAAAAAAAAAAAAAGAGUUUGCAUCAGUAUUCAGUAGGAAAUAUCUUCUAUUGACUGUUCAGAUAUUCAAUUUUCUGUGAGUAUUUUUGACUGCCUUGCAUCCGUAAUUACUUCUUUGUCUGCUGGUAAAAUGCAAUAAAGCUUGCUUGCUCAUUUCAGAGUUACUUAGUGUAUGCCUUCUAUUUCAGUUUAACUCGUUUACUUUCAUUUCAGUUAGCUUCUUUUAAUUGUUGUGUUGUGAUCCUUGCUUCAUUUGAUACCUCUUAUUUUGCUAUGGCUGAUCUCUUGGACUUGUACUUGAAUGUUUGUAAAGAGUUGUGGUUGUCCCUACAAAUUUUCCUUUGGUGUUAUUUAGGUUUCUGUCACAUAGCUAGCACCAACUUAUAGAAUUUCAUUGCCAUGAAAUACAAUACAUCUGGGCCUAAAUUUCAAGAACUUAUAUUUUUAUUGCCAUCCACCCUCCUUUUCAGGGAUAAUCUUGUAGUAUAUUUGGGAAUAGAGAUUUUAGUAGGAGAGGUGAAUAUUGAAUAUCCAUGCUAAAAUUGUUGAACGUAUCUGCCUUAUUUGAUUCUUUAGGAUAUGAGAAAUUUGGCUAUAAUAAGUUAGUUUUAAUUUGAUUAUAGCAGUCUCAAGUAAGAGAACCGAGGCUUGCUUGACAUCUCAAGGAAAGAGGGCCUGGAAUGUUGAGCCUUUUGAUUUAUCAAGAAUCAAUCUAGUAAAUAUGAUUCAUGAGUUUAGGAAUACUUCAGGUUGAAAGAGUGAAUUGCUUUUACCUGCGUGAAAUGUAAUUGAUUCUGUGUAGCCUCUCUCAACUUUUGUCAGGUUUCUUUGUCUUUGUGAUUUGUGCAUUUUAAAGACCUCAUACAAUCAAGCAUUUGAAAUUAGGCUGGACUUAAAUUUACCAGCUCCAAUGAAUCUGUCCUAUGCAUCUUUUUCAGGCACCACUAUUAAUACCAAGCAACUGGCCUAGAAAUAUUAAAAGGAAGUCUUUUUCUGAUGCUAAGGCCCCCGGUAAUGCUGUAAUACAUGCAUGUCAAGUGAUGACUUAACAGUCUACCAGCCUUUCUUUGCUGGAAAUUGGGCUCUAGUCUAUUAGAAGCGCUCUCAAGAACUUUUUCAUAGUCCAAUCGAAUUUUCAAAACAGUAAGAAUAGUUAUAUAAAUUGUACAAAUAUGCGACAGUGAACUUGAUUAGUUUUUCUUUCUAUAAUGCGAUGCAUGCAUUAGUACAGUUUAGAUUGGUAGAUUAGGAAUUGCACUGCAAUUGAUUGGUUUUUAUGUUUAAAUAAUGCCACUUCAGCUAUUGAUCUGCAGUCGGUAUAUUUUUACAAAUGUAAUUUAUGUUUUGGCCCGAAAAAAUUAAAAUUUUAGUUCCGCCACUGCUUGGAAAUGAUGCGUCCUCACGAAUGAGCAUAUAGCGAACUUCUCAGAUAGUUCUCCAGUUCUUCUUGAUGUCCAUCCCUGGAUGCAAUGGAGCUGCGGUUCCAGUUAUUGUACAUUUAGUUGUACUUGUUUUAUCUGUUUCUUCUGUAUCUUUUGCUGCUAUGCUUUUGUGUAUCUGCAUUCAUUUGGUGGUUGUCUUUUUUGCUCUAAAGUUUGAAAUGCAAAAGGGUACUUCAGGGAGGGAUGCUUCGAUAACCUGAAGCUCGUUGAUGAGAAGGCUUGGGAUCUUGAAAUGAUAAAUGAUGAUGAUGGAGAAAGCGACUUGGGUGAAUGAUAUGACAACUUUUAGGAAGUUGGAAGAUGAGAGGAUAAAAUGAGAAUGAAAAAAUGACUGCGAUGAAGAUUAUGUAGGUUCGAUUCUGAUCGGGAGAUGUUAUUUGGUUUUUUUUUUAUAUGCCUUGGGUUCCUUUUUCACUUCAUCAAAUCAUACGAUGCAUGACAAUGGAAUCAAACUCUAAAAAAGAAAAAAAGAAGUAAGCCCUUAACAACUAUUUGGCCCAAUUGGAUUGUAUGGAGCGUGACAUUAAUAAGUAAAAAUUCCAGUAUUUUGACCCAAUAUGGGCUCAUGUUCGCAUAAUUAAUGGGUCAUCGGCAGUCUCGUUCUGUAUAUAGCCAUUUUCAGGAUCUUGGGCCUACAUCUACACUAUAUAUGAGCAAAUUGGGCCCGUCUUGAAGUUAUAGGGCCUACCUCUACCCAUGGCUUUCAAGUGAUUGGGCCGACUUCUGUUUCACGUUAAUUGGCCCAACUUAGGGCCUGUUUUACGUUAUUGGGCCGACUUUUGGGCUGUAUCAUGUUAUUGGGCCAACUUUUGGGCCUGUUAACAUUUUUGCGCCUUAUUUUGGGCCAUUUUCAUGUUACUGGGCCGACUUUCUGGCCCUUUUUACGUUAUUGGGCCCACUCUUGGGCCUGUUUCAAAUUAUUGGGCCGACUUUUAGG